RNAcentral lists this ribosomal RNA (1031 nucleotides) under Rhizoclosmatium globosum. RNAcentral describes it as "SSU rRNA". It matches the Rfam family "Eukaryotic small subunit ribosomal RNA", at positions 56 to 1099 of the family's 1831-position model. Lineage: Eukaryota; Fungi; Chytridiomycota; Chytridiomycetes; Chytridiales; Chytriomycetaceae. The record is from RNAcentral.
UGUCUAAGUAUAAACUCGUUUGUACUGUGUGAAACUGCGAAUGGCUCAUUAAAUCAGUUAUAGUUUAUUUGAUAUAACCUUACUACUUGGAUAUCCGUGGUAAUUCUAGAGCUAAUACAUGCAAUUAAAAUCCUGACUUCUGGAAGGGAUGUAUUUAUUAGAUAAAAAACCAACCCGGCAACGGUUCUUUGGUGAUUCAUAGUAACUUUUCGAAUCGCAUGACUUUACGUCGGCGAUGGUUCAUUCAAAUUUCUGCCCUAUCAAGUUUCGAUGGUAGGAUAGAGGCCUACCAUGCUUUUUACGGGUAACGGCGAAUUAGGGUUCGAUUCCGGAGAGGGAGCCUGAGAAACGGCUACCACAUCUAAGGAAGGCAGCAGGCGCGCAAAUUACCCAAUCCUGAUUCAGGGAGGUAGUGACAAUAAAUAACAAUCCAGGGCUUUUGUCUUGGAAUUGGAAUGAGAACAAUUUAAAUCUCUUAACGAGGAACAAUUGGAGGGCAAGUCUGGUGCCAGCAGCCGCGGUAAUUCCAGCUCCAAUAGCGUAUAUUAAAGUUGUUGCAGUUAAAUAGCUCGUAGUUGAAUCUUGGGCCUGGUUUGGCGGUCGCGCUUUAGGGCGUGUACUGUCGGCCGGGUCUUUUACUUGCGGGGAACGUGCGUGCCUCUCGGGGUGUGUACGGGAACCGUGGCUAUUACUUUGAAAAAAUUAGAGUGUUUAAAGCAGGCGUAAGCUUGUAUACAUUAGCAUGGAAUAAUAGAAUAGGACUUUGGUUUUAUUUUGUUGGUUUCUAGGGCCGAAGUAAUGAUUAAUAGGGAUAGUUGGGGGCAUUAGUAUUUAAUAGUCAGAGGUGAAAUUCUUGGAUUUAUGAAAGACUAACUUCUGCGAAAGCAUUUGCCAAGGAUGUUUUCAUUAAUCAAGAACGAAAGUCAGGGGAUCGAAGAUGAUCAGAUACCGUCGUAGUCCUGACCGUAAACUAUGCCGACUAGGGAUCGGGCGUUGUAUUUCAUGACACGCUCGGCACCUUAUGAGAAAUC